Molecule: ribosomal RNA, 465 nt
Filed under: Vreelandella stevensii
Lineage: Bacteria; Pseudomonadati; Pseudomonadota; Gammaproteobacteria; Oceanospirillales; Halomonadaceae
Description: partial 16S ribosomal RNA
Rfam family: Bacterial small subunit ribosomal RNA
Source: RNAcentral
CCUACGGGGGGCAGCAGUGGGAAAUAUUGGACAAUGGGGGGAACCCUGAUCCAGCCAUGCCGCGUGUGUGAAGAAGGCCCUCGGGUUGUAAAGCACUUUCAGUGAGGAAGAACGCCUGGUGGUUAAUACCCAUCAGGAAAGACAUCACUCACAGAAGAAGCACCGGCUAACUCCGUGCCAGCAGCCGCGGUAAUACGGAGGGUGCGAGCGUUAAUCGGAAUUACUGGGCGUAAAGCGCGCGUAGGUGGCUUGAUAAGCCGGUUGUGAAAGCCCCGGGCUCAACCUGGGAACGGCAUCCGGAACUGUCAAGCUAGAGUGCAGGAGAGGAAGGUAGAAUUCCCGGUGUAGCGGUGAAAUGCGUAGAGAUCGGGAGGAAUACCAGUGGCGAAGGCGGCCUUCUGGACUGACACUGACACUGAGGUGCGAAAGCGUGGGUAGCAAACAGGAUUAGAUACCCUAGUAGUC